AAUGGGCGCAAGCCUGACCCAGCCACGCCGCGUGAAGGACGAAGGCCCUCUGGGUUGUAAACUUCUUUUGCAGGGGAAGAAAAGGCAGCAUGCGUGCUGCAAUUGCCGGUACUCUGCGAAUAAGCACCGGCUAACUACGUGACAGCAGCCGCGGUAAUACGUAGGGUGCAAGCGCUGUCCGGAUUUACUGGGUUUGAAGGGAGCGUAGGCGGCCCGAUAAGUCAGAGGUUAAAUAUACCAGCUUAACUGGUAACGUGCCGUUGAUACUGUCAGGCUUGAGUUCCGGAGAGGGUACUGGAAUUCGUGGUGUAGCGGUGAAAUGCAUAGAUACCACGAGGAACACCGAUUGCGAAGGCAGGUACCUGGCCGGCGACUGACGCUGAGGCUCGAAAGCGUGGGGAUCAAA
Molecule: ribosomal RNA, 406 nt
Filed under: uncultured bacterium
Lineage: Bacteria
Description: bacterial SSU rRNA
Rfam family: Bacterial small subunit ribosomal RNA
Source: RNAcentral